RNAcentral lists this ribosomal RNA (1065 nucleotides) under uncultured Enterobacter sp. RNAcentral's name for it is "bacterial SSU rRNA". It matches the Rfam family "Bacterial small subunit ribosomal RNA", at positions 143 to 1196 of the family's 1533-position model. The record is from RNAcentral. Lineage: Bacteria; Pseudomonadati; Pseudomonadota; Gammaproteobacteria; Enterobacterales; Enterobacteriaceae.
AUAACUACUGGAAACGGUAGCUAAUACCGCAUAACGUCGCAAGACCAAAGAGGGGGACCUUCGGGCCUCUUGCCAUCAGAUGUGCCCAGAUGGGAUUAGCUAGUAGGUGGGGUAACGGCUCACCUAGGCGACGAUCCCUAGCUGGUCUGAGAGGAUGACCAGCCACACUGGAACUGAGACACGGUCCAGACUCCUACGGGAGGCAGCAGUGGGGAAUAUUGCACAAUGGGCGCAAGCCUGAUGCAGCCAUGCCGCGUGUAUGAAGAAGGCCUUCGGGUUGUAAAGUACUUUCAGCGGGGAGGAAGGCGUUGAGGUUAAUAACCUCAGCGAUUGACGUUACCCGCAGAAGAAGCACCGGCUAACUCCGUGCCAGCAGCCGCGGUAAUACGGAGGGUGCAAGCGUUAAUCGGAAUUACUGGGCGUAAAGCGCACGCAGGCGGUCUGUCAAGUCGAAUGUGAAAUCCCCGGGCUCAACCUGGGAACUGCAUUCGAAACUGGCAGGCUAGAGUCUUGUAGAGGGGGGUAGAAUUCCAGGUGUAGCGGUGAAAUGCGUAGAGAUCUGGAGGAAUNACCNGGNUGGCGAAGGCGGCCCCCUGGACAAAGACUGACGCUCAGGUGCGAAAGCGUGGGGAGCAAACAGGAUUAGAUACCCUGGUAGUCCACGCCGUAAACGAUGNUCGACUUGGAGGUUGUGCCCUUGAGGCGUGGCUUCCGGAGCUAACGCGUUAAGUCGACCGCCUGGNGNNGNAGUACGGCCGCAAGGUUAAAACUCAAAUGAAUUGACGGGGGCCCGCACAAGCGGUGGAGCAUGUGGUUUAAUUCGAUGCAACGCGAAGAACCUUACCUACUCUUGACAUCCAGAGAACUUUCCAGAGAUGGAUUGGUGCCUUCGGGAACUCUGAGACAGGUGCUGCAUGGCUGUCGUCAGCUCGUGUUGUGAAAUGUUGGGUUAAGUCCCGCAACGAGCGCAACCCUUAUCCUUUGUUGCCAGCGGUCCGGCCGGGAACUCAAAGGAGACUGCCAGUGAUAAACUGGAGGAAGGUGGGGAUGACGUCAAGUCAUCAU